GAAAUGCGGGUGCUAUACUGCAAGUCGAGCGAAUGGAUUAAGAGCUUGCUCUUAUGAAGUUAGCGGCGGACGGGUGAGUAACACGUGGGUAACCUGCCCAUAAGACUGGGAUAACUCCGGGAAACCGGGGCUAAUACCGGAUAACAUUUUGAACCGCAUGGUUCGAAAUUGAAAGGCGGCUUCGGCUGUCACUUAUGGAUGGACCCGCGUCGCAUUAGCUAGUUGGUGAGGUAACGGCUCACCAAGGCAACGAUGCGUAGCCGACCUGAGAGGGUGAUCGGCCACACUGGGACUGAGACACGGCCCAGACUCCUACGGGAGGCAGCAGUAGGGAAUCUUCCGCAAUGGACGAAAGUCUGACGGAGCAACGCCGCGUGAGUGAUGAAGGCUUUCGGGUCGUAAAACUCUGUUGUUAGGGAAGAACAAGUGCUAGUUGAAUAAGCUGGCACCUUGACGGUACCUAACCAGAAAGCCACGGCUAACUACGUGCCAGCAGCCGCGGUAAUACGUAGGUGGCAAGCGUUAUCCGGAAUUAUUGGGCGUAAAGCGCGCGCAGGUGGUUUCUUAAGUCUGAUGUGAAAGCCCACGGCUCAACCGUGGAGGGUCAUUGGAAACUGGGAGACUUGAGUGCAGAAGAGGAAAGUGGAAUUCCAUGUGUAGCGGUGAAAUGCGUAGAGAUAUGGAGGAACACCAGUGGCGAAGGCGACUUUCUGGUCUGUAACUGACACUGAGGCGCGAAAGCGUGAGGAGCAAACAGGAUUAGAUACCCUGGUAGUCCACGCCGUAAACGAUGAGUGCUAAGUGUUAGAGGGUUUCCGCCCUUUAGUGCUGAAGUUAACGCAUUAAGCACUCCGCCUGAGAGUACGGCCGCAAGGCUGAAACUCAAGGAAUUGACGGGGGCCCGCACAAGCGGUGCAGCAUGUGUUUUAUUCGAAGCACGCGAAGAUCCUUACCAGGUCUGACAUCCUCUGACCACCCUAGAAGAUAGGUCUUCUCCUUCGACAGCAGAGUGACAGUGCUGCAUGUCGUCGUCAGCUCGUGUCGUGAGAUGUGGAUUACGUCCCAGCACGAGCGCCACCCGUGGAUCUAGUGCAUCAUAGUUGGGCCAUCUAGCUGACUGCGAGAACAACGGAGAGUGGGAUGACGUCAAAUCAUCAUGCCCUUAUGACCUGUCUACCACGUGCUACGAGUGGACCACGGUACGAG
This 1206-nucleotide ribosomal RNA is filed under the name Bacillus cereus. RNAcentral's name for it is "bacterial SSU rRNA". It matches the Rfam family "Bacterial small subunit ribosomal RNA", at positions 38 to 1248 of the family's 1533-position model. Lineage: Bacteria; Bacillati; Bacillota; Bacilli; Caryophanales; Bacillaceae. The record is from RNAcentral.